CAGCAUUCCGGAAAGCCUGGCUCAAAGCCCGCCUCCUCUGAAACAAGAGUUCAGCAAUCAGGCCUGGCUUUCACCAAGGCUAUGGUGAACAGAGAACAGAAGCAUCAUGCAUCCUGUAAGAACCUAAGAAGCUGGGAGUAGACACCACGGAGCCCCAAGGGGGUUGGCAGCAAUCUCUUCUCAGAACCAUGGAUAAGCAGAGAGCAGCUGAAAGCGACCCUCCUGCCAGCCCCAGAGGUACAGAUGACCAGGCAAGUGUCACAGCAGACUGCACAAAGGGACACAACUGGCAUUUAAGCUAACGAUGCUUUCCAGCUCAGACCCCGUGCCCUUUGACCCCACACUAUAUUCCAAUAGGUCAGAGCAGACCUGCUUGACUUCCCUAAUGCGCAUUAUCCUCCCUGGUCAAUAAAAUUCCCUUCUGCCUCCGCGCUGACAAUA
Molecule: long non-coding RNA, 441 nt
Organism: Peromyscus leucopus (white-footed mouse)
Lineage: Eukaryota; Metazoa; Chordata; Mammalia; Rodentia; Cricetidae
Exons: 3
Source: RefSeq, a predicted model, not a curated record